Molecule: transfer RNA, 69 nt
Filed under: Brachygobius doriae
Lineage: Eukaryota; Metazoa; Chordata; Actinopteri; Gobiiformes; Gobiidae
Description: tRNA-Met
Rfam family: tRNA
About the family: Transfer RNA (tRNA) molecules are approximately 80 nucleotides in length.
Source: RNAcentral
AGUAAAGUAAGCUAAAUAAACUCUUGGGCCCAUACCCCAAACAUGUUGGUUAAAACCCUUCCUUUACUG